CUUGCAAUAUAUAAUAAUCGUGUGCUAAUAAAAUACCUUUUUGUAAAGACUUUCCUCUACCUUAAUCUACAUAUAAGUAAUACAAUGUCGCAGUUUUAGUUUAACAGGAUAAAAGGCCUUCCCUUUAUAGCAAGCAUUUUAACAGUAGAAUUGUUUGUUUCCUUUUUGCAGUAUCCGGAAAGCACUGAAGUUGAGGAGAUCCCUUUGGGAAUAGUUCCUCACCAAAUUUAAGGGUUUUUGUCCCUAUAUAAUUUAUUAAUAUCCCGUGGGGAAGCUUUUAGUAACUGCGUUUAUGCUCUGAGAAGGUCCUGCAUGCCUUUUGGGAUAACAAGGAAGAAUUGUUAUUAAAGUGUUGCAACGACGCUCUUUACUUGAAGGAGAUUACCGAGUUGGCAUUUACGAAAGAAAAUAUU
Long non-coding RNA from Zophobas morio, 413 nucleotides. RefSeq lists it as uncharacterized. Lineage: Eukaryota; Metazoa; Arthropoda; Insecta; Coleoptera; Tenebrionidae. The transcript is spliced from 5 exons. The record is from RefSeq and is a predicted model, not a curated record.